Molecule: non-coding RNA, 1128 nt
Filed under: Ceratoscopelus warmingii
Lineage: Eukaryota; Metazoa; Chordata; Actinopteri; Myctophiformes; Myctophidae
Description: partial small subunit ribosomal RNA
Rfam family: Bacterial small subunit ribosomal RNA (bases 1-953)
Source: RNAcentral
AGCCUGGUCCUGACUUUAUCAUCCGCCCUAGCCAAAUUUAUACAUGCAAGUCUCCGCACCCCCGUGAGAAUGCCCUCAAACUCCUGCCCGGAAACGAGGAGCAGACAUCAGGCACGCCCGCCGCAGCCCAAGACGUCUUGCUUAGCCACACCCCCAAGGGAACUCAGCAGUAAUAAACCUUAGGCAAUAAGUGUAAACUCGACCUAGUUAUGGCUAUUAGAGGGCCGGUAAAACUCGUGCCAGCCACCGCGGUCAUACGAGUGUUAGCCCAAGCAGAUGAAUAACGGCGUAAAGAGUGGUUAAGGACCUCCACAACUAAAGUUGAACGCCUGCAUGGCCGUUAUACGCAUCCGAAGGCAUGAAACCCCACCACGAAAGUGACUUUAACCAGACCUGAACCCACGAAAGCUACGGCACAAACCGGGAUUAGAUACCCCGCUAUGCUUAGUCGUAAACACCAAUAGAUAAUUACAACUUCUAUUCGCCUGGGGACUACUGGCACCAGCUUAAAACCCAAAGGACUUGGCGGUGCUUUAGACCCACCUAGAGGAGCCUGUCCUAGAACCGAUACUCCCCGUUCAACCUCACCACUUCUAGCCCAACCCGCCUAUAUACCGCCGUCGUCAGCUUACCCCGUGAGGGACAAGUAGUAAGCUAAACUGGCACAGCCCAAAACGUCAGGUCGAGGUGUAGCGCACGAAGUGUGCAAGAGAUGGGCUACAUUUUCUGACUCAGAAAACUACGGAAGAAAGUAUGAAAGUCUUUCUGAAGGAGGAUUUAGCAGUAAGUAGGUAAUAGAGUGCCCUACUGAAACUGGCCCUUAAGCGCGCACACACCGCCCGUCACUCUCCCCAAGCCCAACAUAUAUACAUCAUAUGAAGCCAAAUGGGCAAAGGGGAGGCAAGUCGUAACAUGGUAAGUGUACCGGAAGGUGCACUUGGAUAACACAGAGUGUGGCUAAAUAGUAAAGCACCUCCCUUACACCGAGAAGAUGUCCGUGCAAUUCGGACCACCCUGAUCCUAAUAAGCUAGCCCGACCGCUAAAAUGAACAACCCCCUUUAAAUUACUCAUACUGUAAAAGAAUCAACAAACCAUUUUACCUCCCUAGUACACGGGCGACAGAAAAG